Molecule: small RNA, 173 nt
Filed under: Geotalea uraniireducens
Lineage: Bacteria; Pseudomonadati; Thermodesulfobacteriota; Desulfuromonadia; Geobacterales; Geobacteraceae
Also listed under: 1 other name
Description: Geobacter uraniireducens Magnesium sequence
Rfam family: M-box riboswitch aptamer (ykoK leader)
About the family: M-box riboswitch, also know as ykoK leader is described as a metaloregulatory RNA that sense divalent metals and function as a genetic control element of genes related to divalent metal transport in bacteria. It was first reported upstream of the B.subtilis ykoK gene and genes with related functions in other bacteria. Phylogenetic analysis of the distribution of M-box RNAs across bacterial genomes revealed that M-box riboswitches are most often employed for the regulation of Mg2+ transporter genes
Source: RNAcentral
GUAAUUCCUCGUUAGGAAGAGGCGUUUGCACAAACAAAAGCUACUGCCCAGAAACGUCGAAAGACGCCAAUGCGGUAGACCAGGUUUAGUCGGAUUAAGGCUUUAUCUAAUGUAGCUGGUUGUCAUUUUCGACCUACGUUGUGCACUGCUGAAACUCAAACCAGGGGAAAGUC